AGAGUUUGAUCCUGGCUCAGAACGAACGUUGGCGGCGUGGAUUAGGCAUGCAAGUCGGGGGAAUCCCAGCAAUGGGGGAACCGGCGUAAGGGGCAGUAAUGCGUGGGUACCUACCCUAGGGUUCGGGAUAGCCAUCAGAGAUGGUGGGUAAUACCGGAUGAUGUCGUGAGACCAAAGAUUUAUCGCCCCGGGAGGGGCCCACGUGAUAUUAGCUAGUUGGUGAGGUAACGGCUCACCAAGGCGAAGAUGUCUAGCGGGUGUGAGAGCACGACCCGCGCCACUCGCACUGAGACACUGGCGAGACACCUACGGGUGGCUGCAGUCGAGGAUCUUCGGCAAUGAGCGCAAGCUUGACCGAGCGACGCCGCGUGCGCGAUGAAGGCCUUCGGGUUGUAAAGCGCUUUAGGGGGGGAGAAAAGCCGAAAGGUGUGAUCUAUCCCCAAAAUAAGCACGGGCUAAGUUCGUGCCAGCAGCCGCGGUAAGACGAACCGUGCGAACGUUGUUCGGAAUCACUGGGCUUAAAGGGCGCGUAGGCGGGCUGUCAAGUCUGGGGUGAAAUGCCGCGGCUCAACCGUGGAAUUGCCUUAGAUACUGACGGCCUCGAGGGAGGUAGGGGCGUGCGGAACUGUAGGUGGAGCGGUGAAAUGCGUUGAUAUCUACAGGAACUCCGGUGGCGAAAGCGGCGCGCUGGACCUCUUCUGACGCUGAGGCGCGAAAGCUAGGGGAGCAAACGGGAUUAGAUACCCCAGUAGUCC
This 755-nucleotide ribosomal RNA is filed under the name uncultured bacterium. RNAcentral's name for it is "bacterial SSU rRNA". It matches the Rfam family "Bacterial small subunit ribosomal RNA", at positions 8 to 796 of the family's 1533-position model. The record is from RNAcentral.